Molecule: ribosomal RNA, 531 nt
Filed under: Vibrio sp. OPT18
Lineage: Bacteria; Pseudomonadati; Pseudomonadota; Gammaproteobacteria; Vibrionales; Vibrionaceae
Description: bacterial SSU rRNA
Rfam family: Bacterial small subunit ribosomal RNA
Source: RNAcentral
UCUCUUGACGUUAGCAACAGAAGAAGCACCGGCUAACUCCGUGCCAGCAGCCGCGGUAAUACGGAGGGUGCGAGCGUUAAUCGGAAUUACUGGGCGUAAAGCGCAUGCAGGUGGUUCAUUAAGUCAGAUGUGAAAGCCCGGGGCUCAACCUCGGAACUGCAUUUGAAACUGGUGAACUAGAGUACUGUAGAGGGGGGUAGAAUUUCAGGUGUAGCGGUGAAAUGCGUAGAGAUCUGAAGGAAUACCAGUGGCGAAGGCGGCCCCCUGGACAGAUACUGACACUCAGAUGCGAAAGCGUGGGGAGCAAACAGGAUUAGAUACCCUGGUAGUCCACGCCGUAAACGAUGUCUACUUGGAGGUUGUGGCCUUGAGCCGUGGCUUUCGGAGCUAACGCGUUAAGUAGACCGCCUGGGGAGUACGGUCGCAAGAUUAAAACUCAAAUGAAUUGACGGGGGCCCGCACAAGCGGUGGAGCAUGUGGUUUAAUUCGAUGCAACGCGAAGAACCUUACCUACUCUUGACAUCCAGAGAA